This 382-nucleotide RNase P RNA is filed under the name Gemmatimonadota bacterium. RNAcentral describes it as "RNase P RNA component class A". It matches the Rfam family "Bacterial RNase P class A". Rfam says of the family: Ribonuclease P (RNase P) is a ubiquitous endoribonuclease, found in archaea, bacteria and eukarya as well as chloroplasts and mitochondria. Its best characterised activity is the generation of mature 5'-ends of tRNAs by cleaving the 5'-leader elements of precursor-tRNAs. The record is from RNAcentral. Lineage: Bacteria; Pseudomonadati; Gemmatimonadota.
AGGACGGGCUGAGGGAUCGCCGCCGGGAGUCCGCAGGGCUUGCCGGACGGAGGAAAGUCCGAGCUCCGCAAGGCAGGGUGCCGGGUAACGCCCGGGCGCCGCGAGGCGACGGAAAGUGCCGCAGAGAGCAGACCGCCGAUGGUCUCCAGGGACACAGGCAAGGGUGAAAGGGUGCGGUAAGAGCGCACCGGGCCGCUGGCAACAGGGGUCGCACGGCAAACCCCACCCGGAGCAAGGCCAAAUAGGGGACAAGGGGUCGCCUGCCCCGUGCGAGUCCCGGGUAGGCCGCUAGAGGUUCGGAGCGAUCCGAAUCCCAGACAAAUGAUUCCGGCCCGCCGCCCAGGCGGGAUACAGAACUCGGCUUAUGACGCCCGUCCUCCUG